This 65-nucleotide transfer RNA is filed under the name Candidatus Eubacterium faecigallinarum. It matches the Rfam family "tRNA", at positions 5 to 66 of the family's 71-position model. From Rfam's summary of the family: Transfer RNA (tRNA) molecules are approximately 80 nucleotides in length. Their secondary structure includes four short double-helical elements and three loops (D, anti-codon, and T loops). RNAcentral also lists the same sequence under 1 other name. The record is from RNAcentral. Lineage: Bacteria; Bacillati; Bacillota; Clostridia; Eubacteriales; Eubacteriaceae.
UGAUAGCUCAGCUGGAUAGAGCAACUGCCUUCUAAGCAGUAGGUCGGGGGUUCGAGUCCCUCUCA